UCCAAUAGAGCCACAACAGUUUAGAGAGGAGCCUUUUCAUCUCACGCAAUGGUUUGAAGAGGUACGUUUUCAUCUAUUUCUUCAUCCAUAAAAAUGAGAGAAAAUGCUCUGAGUCCAUCAUUAACUGCCUGAGUCCAUCAUUAACUGGUCAAUAUUCAUUCUCUUCUUUGAAAAUUUUCUUGUGGCCGAUCUGUCCCAGGUAUUUUUGUCUUUUCAAUAUUUUACCUUUUCUAUUUUCAUUUUUUGCUUCAUAUAAAUGAGUUCAAAUGACUCAAUACUUCAUUAUUGGGAAAUAACUGGGCGAAAGCUAUAAGUUCUUCUCCGGUUUCUGCUUCUAAUUCUUCCUUUACAUCCUUUAGUUCUGAUGUUUGUGAAAUUUUUACUCCCAUUCCUUUAGCCAUGGCUUACCCUAUUAGUACUUCGCCUCUUCAGCUAUUGUCCAAUCCUUUUAGGACUGUAGGUUUGAUAGAUGAGAGCCGGGAAGAAUCUUUUGGAGAAGUGUGGGAGUGUUCUAAGAUUAAAUCCACUGCCACAGAAGAGAAAUAGGAGAGAUGGAGAGUAUAUUUCAACAUCCCUAGUUCAGUUGAAGCAUUUUUACCAAGGGCAGAUCACUGCGUUUGCAACCUACAUAAGGGUUACGUUGCUUUGAACCCAGUGAUUCUUUAUGCCGGUCUGAGGCUUCAAUUUUCUCGUGCCAUUAGGAAGUAUUUGUCCUCUUGGAGAAUUCUACCCACACAACUAUGUCCCAACGGAUGGAGGUUGUUUUACGCUUGCUUGUUACUCUGGCGUUGGCUGGACUAACCCAAGCUUUCUAUAAAGCAAUUUAAUUCCUUGUAUAUCUUCAAAGAGGACGACAAAGAUUCAGGGUAGGGCCUAAUUUAUUUAGUGUGUCUUCUUCUAUAAAGAAUUGUAAGGACUUUCUUAUGUUAGGGAGGAUAGGCAAUUUAGCUAAGCUAAUGCAAAUAGGAUGAUGUUGUCCCAAUUCGUUAUCACAGCAUUUGUAAGUAUUUUCAUAUUUAGAUAAUUGUUUAUUGGACUUCUGCUCUGUACUUUCUAUUUUUUGCCAUUUUUCCCUUUUAUAUGUUAAUAGUUUACUGCCCUUGCACCAUUACUAAGAGCGCCAAGUGAAUAGGUG
This 1135-nucleotide long non-coding RNA is filed under the name Olea europaea (common olive). Its description in RNAcentral is "long non-coding RNA (OEUR_LNC008720)". Lineage: Eukaryota; Viridiplantae; Streptophyta; Magnoliopsida; Lamiales; Oleaceae. The record is from RNAcentral.